Dendronephthya gigantea is the source of this 1081-nucleotide long non-coding RNA. RefSeq lists it as uncharacterized. The transcript is spliced from 4 exons. NCBI's taxonomy places the organism in Eukaryota, Metazoa, Cnidaria, Anthozoa, Malacalcyonacea, Nephtheidae. The record is from RefSeq and is a predicted model, not a curated record.
CUGCCGCAGCGAGGUCGCCUGAGCGACCGAGCAAGGCAGCAGUCCUAAAUUUGAAAUAGCGUGCGAAAUCUUGAUUUUUGCCAAGAGCGAUGCAUUGUGGUCACACUUUUCGCAGUUCUUUUUUCAACCAUAAUGCAUUUCGGUUCUUUGAAUAAAACCUUCGUGGUCGCAAUUGUUUGCUCUUUCACGUCUACGUUUCAAAGACCAAGAUUGUAAUACACUGGCGUCGUCUGGAGUUUAACUUUAGGUUUUGAUAUACUGGCAGAACGUUUCAACGAGAACAUACUAUAUAAAAAAGGGUUUUAAUAUACUGGCAGAACUAUACUGUGCUAUUUCAGGAUGGCACAUCCACGACCACCCUGUUGCUGUUUGACGACAAACUACAGCAAUUAUUCAACAUCUACAAAGAGCAAAACACUUGCGAUACCGAGUUUGAGGGAACUGACGACGAAAUUCUUUUAACUGUUGAGGCGAAAGUACUCUUUAACAACAAAAGAAAUGUUGUCUCCAUAGAGAAGCUUUCUACUUCAUAACAUAUAUACAGCAUGCUUAUAUAAACUAUAUUCUUUAGACGGUCAACAUUAGAUUGUGCAUGACUUUGUUGCCGAAAACACUUCAGCCAUUCUUACCACUUUUUAGAAGUUUUGCAUGUACUGUUCUGUUAUCUUUGUUCUGUUAUCUUUGUUCUAACAUUUUAAAUUCCACAGAAACGCUCUUUAGUGUAAAUAUUUUUUCUAUGAAUAGAAUGUUUCUCCAAUGCCUUACUAUUUAACCAUUUAUAUAAAUUACUUUACGCAGAAACACUAAAUAUAACUGUAUUGUUGUUUUUCAAGAUUAUGCGGCGAACUAUAAACGUAUCUUUACCCCUUAGUUCGGUAUUAGGCAGAUUUAAAAAGACCUCACGGUCGUCAAAUGUCAACUUAAAAAUGACGUUCUAUCUCCAUGCAAGCAUACGUUUUUGGCGUCUGUAUAAAUCUGCUUAACAUAAUGAUAAGUACAAUUUUUUGUCUUAUUUCUGUGACAACUCUGUGUUUUGCUAUUGAAGGCAGCAUUACUACCCUUAGGGUAACCUAGUUUAAUA